This 253-nucleotide ribosomal RNA is filed under the name uncultured bacterium. RNAcentral's name for it is "partial 16S ribosomal RNA". It matches the Rfam family "Bacterial small subunit ribosomal RNA", at positions 524 to 776 of the family's 1533-position model. The record is from RNAcentral.
UACGGGGGGGGCAAGCGUUGUUCGGAAUUACUGGGCGGAAAGGGUUUGUAGGUGGCCCGCUAAGUCACACGUGAAAUCCCUCAGCUUAACUGGGGAACUGCGUGUGAGACUGGCAGGCUCGAGGGCAGGAGAGGAACGCGGAAUUCCAGGUGUAGCGGUGAAAUGCGUAGAUAUCUGGAGGAACACCGGUGGCGAAGGCGGCGUUCUGGACUGUCUCUGACACUGAAGAACGAAAGCCAGGGGAGCAAACGGG